RNAcentral lists this ribosomal RNA (429 nucleotides) under uncultured bacterium. RNAcentral's name for it is "bacterial SSU rRNA". It matches the Rfam family "Bacterial small subunit ribosomal RNA", at positions 355 to 775 of the family's 1533-position model. The record is from RNAcentral.
UAGGGAAUAUUGCGCAAUGGAGGAAACUCUGACGCAGCGACGCCGCGUGGGUGAUGAAGGCCUUCGGGUCGUAAAGCCCUGUCGGAAGGGAAGAAAAACGUUUUGGCUAACAUCCAAGACGCUUGACGGUACCUUCAAAGGAAGCACCGGCUAACUACGUGCCAGCAGCCGCGGUAAUACGUAGGGUGCAAGCGUUGUUCGGAAUCAUUGGGCGUAAAGCGCGUGUAGGUGGUUAGUUAAGUCGGGUGUGAAAUCCCUCAGCUCAACUGAGGAAGUGCAUCCGAAACUGGCUAGCUAGAGAAUGGUAGAGGAAGGUGGAAUUCCUAGUGUAGAGGUGAAAUUCGUAGAUAUUAGGAGGAAUACCGGUGGCGAAGGCGGCCUUCUGGACCAUUGCUGACACUGAGACGCGAAAGCGUGGGGAGCAAACAG